AACUUGUAACAAUGUAUCACUUGGCUCUCGCAUCGAUUAAGAACGCAGCGAAAUGCGAUACGUAAUGUGAAUUGCAGAAUUCAGUGAAUCAUCGAAUCUUUGAACGCACCUUGCGCCCCUUGGUAUUCCGAGGGGCACACCCGUUUGAGUGUCGUGAAAAUCUCAACCUUCUCGGUUUCUUCUGGACACCGAAGGAGGCUUGGACUUUGGAGGCCUUUGCUGGCGUCUCUCGCCAGCUCCUCUCAAAUGAAUUAGUGGGGUCCUCUUUGCCGAUCCUCGACGUGUGAUAAGAUGUUUCCAUGUCUUGGUUUAUGGCUCUGUUGCUUUUGGGACCCGCUUCUAACCGUCUCAACGAGACAACGUUCGAGCGUGUCGAACACUCUUGAACCCACGAACCCUUGACCUCAAAUCGGGUGAGACUACCCGCUGAACUUAAGCAUAUCAAUAAGCGGAGGCU
Molecule: unclassified non-coding RNA, 457 nt
Filed under: uncultured Lactarius
Lineage: Eukaryota; Fungi; Basidiomycota; Agaricomycetes; Russulales; Russulaceae
Description: sequence contains ITS2
Rfam family: 5.8S ribosomal RNA (bases 1-154)
Source: RNAcentral